UCCACGGGGCGCAGCAGUAGGGAAUCUUCCACAAUGGACGAAAGUCUGAUGGAGCAACGCCGCGUGAGUGAAGAAGGGUUUCGGCUCGUAAAGCUCUGUUGGGAGUGAAGAAAGAUAGAGGUAGUAACUGGCCUUUAUUUGACGGUAAUUACUUAGAAAGUCACGGCUAACUACGUGCCAGCAGCCGCGGUAAUACGUAGGUGGCAAGCGUUGUCCGGAUUUAUUGGGCGUAAAGCGAGUGCAGGCGGGUCAAAAAGGCUGAUGUGAAAGGCCUCGGCGCAACCGGAGAAAUGCAUCAGAAACUG
This 305-nucleotide ribosomal RNA is filed under the name uncultured bacterium. RNAcentral describes it as "bacterial SSU rRNA". It matches the Rfam family "Bacterial small subunit ribosomal RNA", at positions 338 to 635 of the family's 1533-position model. The record is from RNAcentral.